Zophobas morio is the source of this 348-nucleotide long non-coding RNA. RefSeq lists it as uncharacterized. The transcript is spliced from 4 exons. The record is from RefSeq and is a predicted model, not a curated record. NCBI's taxonomy places the organism in Eukaryota, Metazoa, Arthropoda, Insecta, Coleoptera, Tenebrionidae.
ACCAAAAAGGCAGAGUAGGCCGAACUAACACUCAAUACAAUCCAUUACUACUACAACUUUUCGAAAAUAUAUUUGAGCCUACCGCUUCUCAUCCGUCUUAUUUGGAGUAUCUUCCUUUAGAACCGUCUUCAACUUUUCGUUUUGGACUUGACUUUCGAGCUUUCCUGACAAAUAAGCCUUCUUUAACCGAUCACAAGACCAUAUUCCUUUGUGUCAUUGGCGGAAUUACUUUUGACGAAAUUCGGCAUCUUCGUGCCAUUACUGACCAAUUUCCCGCCUUUAAAGUUAUCAUUGGCAGUACGAGAAUAGCUACGCAUGAAAAUACGCUCUCCUCCGUUCUAACGCCUU